AGAUUGGACGCUGGCGGCAUGCCUAACACAUGCAAGUCGAACGGGAGUAGCAAUACUCUAGUGGCGGACGGGUGAGGAAUACGUAGGAAUUUGCCCUUAAGUGGGGGAUAACCCGGGGAAACCCGGAUUAAUACCGCAUGACCUCGAAAGAGCAAAGUGGGGGAUCGCAAGACCUCACGCUUUUGGAGAAGCCUACGUCGGAUUAGCUAGUUGGUGAGGUAAUGGCUCACCAAGGCGACGAUCCGUAACUGGUCUGAGAGGAUGAUCAGUCACACCGGAACUGAGACAC
Molecule: ribosomal RNA, 289 nt
Filed under: uncultured soil bacterium
Lineage: Bacteria
Description: partial 16S ribosomal RNA
Rfam family: Bacterial small subunit ribosomal RNA
Source: RNAcentral